Molecule: long non-coding RNA, 216 nt
Filed under: Lathyrus oleraceus (garden pea)
Lineage: Eukaryota; Viridiplantae; Streptophyta; Magnoliopsida; Fabales; Fabaceae
Description: Pisum sativum (pea) long non-coding RNA (PSAT_LNC036099)
Source: RNAcentral
AAACACUGCUCACACACACACACACUGGCUGAAAGAGACACAAGAAAACAUGACUGAAACUGACUCGGCAGGACAUCGCAUCCUGGGCCUACUUAGUCUAUCAGGCAUAGACAUCAGAGUCGAAGUAGUUCGGACUUGGGAAACGACACAUGCUCGCUAGGAUAUCGCAUCCUAUGCAUACGUAUCUCCUUUGGACGAAGGAGAAUCAGAGCAUUC